Molecule: ribosomal RNA, 253 nt
Filed under: uncultured Bacteroides sp.
Lineage: Bacteria; Pseudomonadati; Bacteroidota; Bacteroidia; Bacteroidales; Bacteroidaceae
Description: partial 16S ribosomal RNA
Rfam family: Bacterial small subunit ribosomal RNA
Source: RNAcentral
UACGGAGGAUGCGAGCGUUAUCCGGAUUUAUUGGGUUUAAAGGGUGCGCAGGCGGUCUGUUAAGUCAGUUGUGAAAGUUUGCGGCUCAACCGUAAAAUUGCAGUUGAAACUGGCAGUCUUGAGUACAGUAGAGGUGGGCGGAAUUCGUGGUGUAGCGGUGAAAUGCUUAGAUAUCACGAAGAACUCCGAUUGCGAAGGCAGCAUACCGGCGCCCGACUGACGCUGAGGCACGAAAGCGUGGGGAUCGAACAGG